This 381-nucleotide RNase P RNA is filed under the name Gammaproteobacteria bacterium LSUCC0057. RNAcentral's name for it is "Bacterial RNase P class A". It matches the Rfam family "Bacterial RNase P class A". From Rfam's summary of the family: Ribonuclease P (RNase P) is a ubiquitous endoribonuclease, found in archaea, bacteria and eukarya as well as chloroplasts and mitochondria. Its best characterised activity is the generation of mature 5'-ends of tRNAs by cleaving the 5'-leader elements of precursor-tRNAs. Lineage: Bacteria; Pseudomonadati; Pseudomonadota; Gammaproteobacteria; Cellvibrionales; Porticoccaceae. The record is from Rfam by way of RNAcentral.
UGAGUCGGCUAGGCAGUCGCGGCGCAUCACUCUCUGGCCAUCGCUGGCGUUGGCAGGGGAGCUGCGUCGAGGAAAGUCCGGGCUCCACAGGGCAGAGUGCCAGGUAACGCCUGGGGGGCGUAAGUCCACGGAAAGUGCAGCAGAGAGUAGACCGCCGAUGGCCAUUGCGGCACAGGUAAGGGUGAAAGGGUGCGGUAAGAGCGCACCGCGCGGCUGGUAACAGUUCGCGGCACGGCAAACCCCACUCGGAGCAAGAUCAAAUAGGUCUCCUAUGGCGCGGCCCGCGCUGGAGACGGGUAGAUUGCUUGAGGCAGUUGGCGACAGCUGACCCAGAUGAAUGACUGUCCACGACAGAACCCGGCUUAUCGGCCGACUCACUCU